Non-coding RNA from Malus domestica (apple), 185 nucleotides. NCBI's taxonomy places the organism in Eukaryota, Viridiplantae, Streptophyta, Magnoliopsida, Rosales, Rosaceae. The record is from RefSeq and is a predicted model, not a curated record.
UAGGUUGAGGUGCGGGUGUAGGGUUGGUUAUUUCCACACCAAAAAUCAUCUUCCUCUUUUCAGUAAAUAGAAUUAGUACUAGCUGAACAGAGUUCCUCUCUGCAACUCCUCCUCCAUUACUGCAUUCGAAUUUUCGACAAUGCUGAUUGCUUUCCUCGCUUUUUAUCCAUACCGUUUGGUUCAAA